GAUGAACGCUGGCGGCGUGCUUAACACAUGCAAGUCGAACGGUGAAGCUCCAGCUUGCUGGUGUGGAUCAGUGGCGAACGGGUGACUAACACGUGAGCAACCUGCCCCUGACUCUGGGAUAACAGCCGGAAACGGCUGCUAAUACCGGAUAUGCACCCUCAACGCAUGUUCUGUGGUGGGAAAGCUGUUUCGGUUGGGGAUGGGCCCGCGGCCUAUCAGCUUGUUGGUGGGGCCAUGGACUACCAAGGCGGCGACGGGUAGCCGGCCUGAGAGGGUGACCGGCCAACACGGGAACGGGGAAAGGGCCAGACUUCCACGGGAGGGAGGAGGGGGGAAUAAUGCGACAAGGGGCGAAGGCCUGAUGAGGCACCCCGGGGUGGGGAAGAACGCCCUUCGGUUUGAAAACCUCUUUAGCAGGGAAGGAGGCGAAGGUAAGGGAACCUGCGAAAAAGCGCCGGCUAACUACGUG
RNAcentral lists this ribosomal RNA (469 nucleotides) under uncultured bacterium. RNAcentral describes it as "partial 16S ribosomal RNA". It matches the Rfam family "Bacterial small subunit ribosomal RNA", at positions 28 to 507 of the family's 1533-position model. The record is from RNAcentral.